Molecule: long non-coding RNA, 1675 nt
Filed under: Bemisia tabaci
Lineage: Eukaryota; Metazoa; Arthropoda; Insecta; Hemiptera; Aleyrodidae
Description: lncRNA ENSSSA3NGG004319
Source: RNAcentral
CUGGCAAAGGAACUAAGUAAAAAUUAUGUAACGAACAUUCCCUUUAAGUGACUUAAAACUUUACAUCCUCACAAUUUCGGAAACAUAGGUUACCAGAGUUUUAAAUCAUGUUCACUCGAUUUAAUUUCUGCAAUAGUCUUGGAUGAAACGCAAGAGAACAAAAUUAACUGAUGGAAGGAAGAAUUUUGAUCACAUUUUUACAGCUUUCCCUCUCUUCCUUCCCCUCUCCACCGCCUUGUUUAUUUACAUAUUUUCUAACCUCAAAAAAAGCAUGCAGGAGCUGGCAGGAGCGAGCAGAUAGACGUAUCACAGUUUUUUAUCUAGUUCUCACAAGUGUUUUCACUAGUUUAAUCCUUUUUAUCAUGUAAUAUACUUUAUUCUAUUACCAGGAAUCAUGGAUUCUGAAACUAAAAGUGCUUUUUUAGUUCUAAAGCCUGUCUGCGACAAAGUGGCAUUGAGUCCGAGCAAGUCAACUUUAUGGGAUUUGAAAGCAACAAUAGGCUCGGUGCCUAUCUCAGGGCUGUUAAGGCUCAAGGACUAUGUUAUUUUCCCUCUGGAAUUGCAUCUACACAACCACAAAAAUCUGAGCCAAGAAACUUUGAUCUCCUUAGUUGAGUGUCUAAAAACAGUCCUUCAGAGAAUUUCUCUAACAGAGUUGAAGAACUUUCUCAAGCUAUAUUCCCUCAUGUUCUCACUGACCUCAAACCCUCAGAAUCCUGAACUCAGUAAAGAUGUGCCAGAAGAGCUAACAUUGAGUGUGGUAGAAUGUGUUGCACAGCUCUUCAUCAAAUCAGAUCCUAGCGUAUUAGUUGAGUUUUAUUCAAGACCUUACUACCCGAAAUUGAGCUUUGGGGUUUACACUUGCAAUCAAAUCGUGAAAAACGAAAAAUUCCAUACUCUCAGAGUAAGUGCCUUGAAUUGUCUAAUGAUCAUGACUGGCUCAUUAUUUGAUGAUGAAGUAAAGAAAUCCUGCUCAAACAUAGUGAUGCUUAUGUUACCUGGAAUUGUCUCUCUGUGCCAGGCAACUGCUGCUUUAAAUGUCAUGCAAACCACCAGGUUACUUUGAUGGCUUUGCGAUUGUGGUGUCACGUUGUUGUUCUCGUCAUGGAUGACAACUUGAAGGUGCAGGAAUCAGAUGACCGUAGUUUGUGCAAACUAGAGACCAGCACGAAAGAAAAGAUUAAACAGAUAAUGGACAUGCAGCAAAGAACUGAGGCUUGGCUGGCAGACACCAGCAAAAAUUUGGCGCCCGUUACUGAGAAUAUUGUCAGUGUAAGGAGUCAUUCACAUUGGAAAGUGAGACAUGAGCUUGCUGUUGCAAGUGAUCGCAUAGUAUCUAAUUGCCAGAGGUAAAAGAAAUUCUCUUGUUCUAAGAUUUCAAACAUUAUUUGAAUUGUCAAGCAUUUCCUCAACUAUGCGUUGGUUUUCUUGCAUUUGUCAGCUUGGAAAACGUGCAUUUUUCUAAAUUUUGUAUUUCAAAAUCUCGGGAAUUUUUCCUCCGGAUCUAGUGAAACUUUGAAGGAAAAAUUUGGGCACUUCCAACAAAUUUGACAAAGGAAUGACGGUUUCGGUGUAAAAUAAAACCUUUUGACACGUACGUUCUCUCCUUUUAAUUUCAAAAAAUCUCUCUUUUGUAAAAAUAUUGAUGUAAAACCAAGAAAUAAUAAAUAAUAAU